UCAUCAAUCUUAUGGUAACCCAUGCGAAUGAGGGUCUGCUUAUCAUAUGUGUCAAUGUAGCGUAGGUCUAUGGACAGCUCCCUCCUAAGAUCAACUCUACCCUCCCUGAAGACUAAAGUCAAGGCCAUGCCAUAGGAUAGGCAUCCUUUGGCUCUCCCCACUCCAUCUCGCAUCUGAGAGAAGAUCAAGGAUGGGAGACUAUCCCCAGA
RNAcentral lists this long non-coding RNA (209 nucleotides) under Elaeis guineensis (African oil palm). Its description in RNAcentral is "long non-coding RNA (EGUI_LNC058952)". The record is from RNAcentral. Lineage: Eukaryota; Viridiplantae; Streptophyta; Magnoliopsida; Arecales; Arecaceae.